AUUGAACGCUGGCGGCGUGCCUAACACAUGCAAGUCGAGCGGUAACAGGUGUAGCAAUACAUGCUGACGAGCGGCGGACGGGUGAGUAACGCUUGGGAAUCUGCCUAUUAGUGGGGGACAACCCGGGGAAACUCGGGCUAAUACCGCAUACGCACUACGGUGGAAAGCCGGGGACCGCAAGGCCUGGCGCUAACAGAUGAGCCCAAGUCGGAUUAGCUAGUUGGUAGGGUAACGGCCUACCAAGGCGACGAUCCGUAACUGGUCUGAGAGGACGACCAGUCACACCGGAACUGAGACACGGUCCGGACUCCUACGGGAGGCAGCAGUGGGGAAUAUUGGACAAUGGGCGAAAGCCUGAUCCAGCGACGCCGCGUGGGUGAAGAAGGCCUGCGGUUGUAAAGCCCUUUCAGUGGGAAGAAAAGCCUCGAGCUAACACCUCGGGGUCUUGACGUAACCCAUAGAAGAAGCACCGGCUAACUCUGUGCC
RNAcentral lists this ribosomal RNA (486 nucleotides) under uncultured bacterium. RNAcentral's name for it is "bacterial SSU rRNA". It matches the Rfam family "Bacterial small subunit ribosomal RNA", at positions 29 to 509 of the family's 1533-position model. The record is from RNAcentral.